GCCCUCCACGAGAUCCAGUCCCCCGCCACGAGAUCCAGUCCCCGCCACCCGCCACGAGCUCAAACUCAUCAAGUUCUCGCCUUUUCAGGUGCUAGGAGGCAAGUAUCAGAGCAAACUACUUGAAGCUGUAGAUCCAAGUAAUCUGCCAGAAUUUGCACUAGUGUGGUUGUCGAAGAAUCUACAGAACCCCAGAGUGGUGGUUCUAUCGACAUCGGAAGUCCGACAAUAACAGUAGAAGGAUGUCAAGUUUGAACUUCAGGUGAUAUAAUGGCAAGAAAGAGUUUUUAUGUUGUAAAGAGAGGUCGACGUUGUGGCAUUUUUUAUGAUUGGGAUGAAUGCAAAUCUCAAGUUGAUAGAUUCACAAAUGCCUCCUACAAAUGGUAUACGACAUAUGAAGAGGCUUUGAGUGAAUGGGAGAAGCACUUAAGCACGCGUGAUUUAGCAUCCAUCUCAAGGCAUGUGCAACCACCUGUUUGUGUUCAAGAACAAGUGUUUCCAGGGGGCAUAAUCUUCUUGAGGACAAGGGACCACUUGGGGAAACUGCUAUUUCCUCCAUCCAAGCUUUUGUAUUAGGUUCAAUGUUUAUAAUUUUAAUAUUUCUAAUAUGUAUCGUUACAGUAUUUGUUGGUUUCUCUAUUGGGGGAAACAUUUGAUGUGAUUCGUGUAUGAUUUUUCAAUGUGAGAAUAAGCUUGCAUAACUUAUGUCAUUUUGUACUUAGUUUGUUGGUUU
Long non-coding RNA from Asparagus officinalis (garden asparagus), 730 nucleotides. RefSeq lists it as uncharacterized. The record is from RefSeq and is a predicted model, not a curated record. NCBI's taxonomy places the organism in Eukaryota, Viridiplantae, Streptophyta, Magnoliopsida, Asparagales, Asparagaceae. The transcript is spliced from 5 exons.